Molecule: ribosomal RNA, 424 nt
Filed under: unidentified bacterium TMB805
Lineage: Bacteria
Description: bacterial SSU rRNA
Rfam family: Bacterial small subunit ribosomal RNA
Source: RNAcentral
CAAGUCGAACGGAAAGGCCCUUCGGGGGUACUCGAGUGGCGAACGGGUGAGUAACACGUGGGUGAUCUGCCCUGCACUUUGGGAUAAGCCUGGGAAACUGGGUCUAAUACCGAAUACACCUCGCUGGCCGCAUGGUCUGGUGGGGGAAAGCUUUUGCGGUGUGGGAUGGGCCCGCGGCCUAUCAGCUUGUUGGUGGGGUGAUGGCCUACCAAGGCGACGACGGGUAGCCGGCCUGAGAGGGUGACCGGCCACACUGGGACUGAGAUACGGCCCAGACUCCUACGGGAGGCAGCAGUGGGGAAUAUUGCACAAUGGGCGCAAGCCUGAUGCAGCGACGCCGCGUGGGGGAUGACGGCCUUCGGGUUGUAAACCCCUUUCAGCACAGACGAAGCGCGAGUGACGGUAUGUGCAGAAGAAGGACCGG